CCUGCUCCUCUCCAGCUGCCUGGAGUCACACAGGUGCCACACACCCUGCCCACCACACAUUUAACCUUGUAAACUUGCUUUGACCUUGUAAGCAGGCACACUUGCCUAAACCUGCCGGAGCCGGACGCAGUGUUGCUCAGCUUCCCUGUAGCUGCCUCCUGACCCUGGGAAACUAGUGUGAAUCCUAAUUUUGAAGAUGGGAAAACUGCAGCACAGAGAGAUUCAAUAAACUGCGUCAAGUCACACAGCUGAUUUACAGUCCAUCUGGUAUUAUUUUCCUUCUACCUGAAGAAUUUCCAUCAGCA
This is a long non-coding RNA of Nycticebus coucang (slow loris), 305 nucleotides long. RefSeq lists it as uncharacterized. The transcript is spliced from 3 exons. The record is from RefSeq and is a predicted model, not a curated record. Lineage: Eukaryota; Metazoa; Chordata; Mammalia; Primates; Lorisidae.